UACGGAAUGUGCAAACGUUAUUCGGAAUCACUGGGCUUAAAGAGUCCGUAGGCGGCAUGUUAGGUGAGGUGUGAAAUCCCCCGGCUCAACCGAGGAAUUGCGCUUCAAACCGGCGUGCUUGAGGAAGAUAGAGGUGGGCGGAACUGAUGGUGGAGCGGUGAAAUGCGUUGAUAUCAUCAGGAACACCGGAGGCGAAGGCGGCCUACUGGGUCUUUUCUGACGCUGAGGGACGAAAGCUAGGGGAGCGAACGGG
Molecule: ribosomal RNA, 253 nt
Filed under: uncultured bacterium
Lineage: Bacteria
Description: partial 16S ribosomal RNA
Rfam family: Bacterial small subunit ribosomal RNA
Source: RNAcentral